This 910-nucleotide ribosomal RNA is filed under the name uncultured bacterium. RNAcentral's name for it is "bacterial SSU rRNA". It matches the Rfam family "Bacterial small subunit ribosomal RNA", at positions 33 to 911 of the family's 1533-position model. The record is from RNAcentral.
ACGCUGGCGGCGUGCCUAAUACAUGCAAGUCGAGCGAGCUGAAUUCAAAGAUCCCUUCGGGGUGAUUUGUUGGACGCUAGCGGCGGAUGGGUGAGUAACACGUGGGCAAUCUGCCCUAAAGACUGGGAUACCACUUGGAAACAGGUGCUAAUACCGGAUAACAACAUGAAUCGCAUGAUUCAAGUUUGAAAGGCGGCGUAAGCUGUCACUUUAGGAUGAGCCCGCGGCGCAUUAGCUAGUUGGUGGGGUAAAGGCCUACCAAGGCAAUGAUGCGUAGCCGAGUUGAGAGACUGAUCGGCCACAUUGGGACUGAGACACGGCCCAAACUCCUACGGGAGGCAGCAGUAGGGAAUCUUCCACAAUGGACGCAAGUCUGAUGGAGCAACGCCGCGUGAGUGAAGAAGGUUUUCGGAUCGUAAAGCUCUGUUGUUGGUGAAGAAGGGUAGAGGCAGUAACUGGUCUUUAUUUGACGGUAAUCAACCAGAAAGUCUCGGCUAACUACGUGCCAGCAGCCGCGGUAAUACGUAGGUGGCAAGCGUUGUCCGGAUUUAUUGGGCGUAAAGCGAGCGCAGGCGGAAUGAUAAGUCUGAUGUGAAAGCCCACGGCUCAACCGUGGAACUGCAUCGGAAACUGUCAUUCUUGAGUGCAGAAGAGGAGAGUGGAACUCCAUGUGUAGCGGUGGAAUGCGUAGAUAUAUGGAAGAACACCAGUGGCGAAGGCGGCUCUCUGGUCUGCAACUGACGCUGAGGCUCGAAAGCAUGGGUAGCGAACAGGAUUAGAUACCCUGGUAGUCCAUGCCGUAAACGAUGAGCGCUAGGUGUUGGGGACUUUCCGGUCCUCAGUGCCGCAGCAAACGCAUUAAGCGCUCCGCCUGGGGAGUACGACCGCAAGGUUGAAACUCAAAGGAAUU